RNAcentral lists this ribosomal RNA (448 nucleotides) under uncultured bacterium. RNAcentral's name for it is "SSU rRNA". It matches the Rfam family "Bacterial small subunit ribosomal RNA", at positions 26 to 518 of the family's 1533-position model. The record is from RNAcentral.
AGAACGAACGCUGGCGGCAGGCUUAACACAUGCAAGUCGAACGGUUGUAGCAAUACAGCAGUGGCGCACGGGUGAGUAAUACUUGGGAACGUGCCUUUCAGUCUGGGAUAACAGCGGGAAACUGCUGCUAAUACCGGAUAUUCUCUCCGGAGGAAAGAUUUAUCGCUGAAAGAUCGGCCCAAGCCAGAUUAGGUAGUUGGUGGGGUAAAAGCCUACCAAGCCUACGAUCUGUAGCUGGUCUGAGAGGACGACCAGCCACACUGGAACUGAGACACGGUCCAGACUCCUACGGGAGGCAGCAGUGGGGAAUAUUGGACAAUGGGGGAAACCCUGAUCCAGCCAUGCCGCGUGAGUGAUGAAGGCCUUAGGGUUGUAAAGCUCUUUUGUCAGGGAAGAUGAUGACGGUACCUGAAGAAUAAGCACCGGCUAACUUCGUGUCAGCAGCCGC